This 472-nucleotide ribosomal RNA is filed under the name uncultured bacterium. Its description in RNAcentral is "bacterial SSU rRNA". It matches the Rfam family "Bacterial small subunit ribosomal RNA", at positions 8 to 526 of the family's 1533-position model. The record is from RNAcentral.
AGAGUUUGAUCAUGGCUCAGAACGAACGCUGGCGGCAGGCCUAACACAUGCAAGUCGAACGCCGUAGCAAUACGGAGUGGCAGACGGGUGAGUAACGCGUGGGAACCUUCCCAAUGGUACGGAAUAGCCCAGGGAAACUUGGAGUAAUACCGUAUACGCCCGUAAGGGGAAAGAUUUAUCGCCAUUGGAUGGGCCCGCGUCGGAUUAGCUAGUUGGUGAGGUAACGGCUCACCAAGGCGACGAUCCGUAGCUGGUCUGAGAGGACGAUCAGCCACACUGGGACUGAGACACGGCCCAGACUCCUACGGGAGGCAGCAGUGGGGAAUAUUGGACAAUGGGCGCAAGCCUGAUCCAGCCAUGCCGCGUGAGUGAUGAAGGCCUUAGGGUUGUAAAGCUCUUUUGGCGGGGACGAUAAUGACGGUACCCGCAGAAUAAGCCCCGGCUAACUUCGUGCUAGCCGCCGCGGUAAUAC